This is a long non-coding RNA of Pseudoliparis swirei, 859 nucleotides long. RefSeq lists it as uncharacterized. The record is from RefSeq and is a predicted model, not a curated record. NCBI's taxonomy places the organism in Eukaryota, Metazoa, Chordata, Actinopteri, Perciformes, Liparidae. The transcript is spliced from 4 exons.
ACAUUUUAUUCUUUAGAACACUUUUACCUUAAUAAAAUAAAGCGUCUGUCAUUCAUUUUUAUAGUAUGACCAAUUAGUUUUUUUCUAUCUCUUUCUAGCCAUUUCUAUGGAGACUCGGAUGGAGACAGUGAAAAUGAAAAUUCCCCCCACAAAACAGGGGUCCAACCACUAGCGGGACAGUUGUCCCUCCAAUCAUUGCCUCCUCCUAACUAUUCCAUGUACUCCAUAACCAGCAGGACAGCGAACACGCCAGGGGGACACGCCCACCUGGCGAGGGGCGUGGUGUGGUUCAGACACCAUUGCCUGCUGUGCUGUUCCAGUUCAAAUCCUAGGCAUGCUGGAGACAAUUACAGAGGUGAGAGACCCGGUUCCGUUUCCGUGUACCACAAUGGAGGAAGUGGACCUUUUUGAGCAACGGCUCAAAGAUCCCGUCAACAUUCUAAUGAGUGACGACAUGAUGCCAAACGUGGAACAUCCUCGAAUGAAUGGAAAAAAAUUAUUCUGUCAAAUGACAUCUAAGACUUUGCUCCUGCAUGCCGUCAGAAAGAAUCAUGCCACACAUGCAUCCACUGAUGAACAGAUUCUAAAGCAUGCCAUUAGGUGGUUCAACCUGGCAGCAAACCGGGGUAGCUCCAGGAGGCGUGCUACUGUCGACAUCCCCCACACUGAACAGAAUUAAAAAUAUAUAUUUAUAUUUUUAUAUAUAUAUAUAUACACACACACCAGUUCUCAGUUGGAAGUUCCACCAUUCACUUGAGGCCACUGCGACCUAUUCUCUGGGAGAAUUGUGGUAUUUGGGUUAGGUGGUCGGUAUUUAUGGUUGUAUUAGUUGUAGCUCUUGUGUUCUAAUGUGAGCUAU